RNAcentral lists this ribosomal RNA (867 nucleotides) under uncultured bacterium. RNAcentral's name for it is "bacterial SSU rRNA". It matches the Rfam family "Bacterial small subunit ribosomal RNA", at positions 624 to 1501 of the family's 1533-position model. The record is from RNAcentral.
CACCAGAAACUGUACGACUUGAAGAAUAAAGGGGGUGGCUAGAACUCUACAAGUACCGGUGAAAUGGGUUGAUAUGUAGGGGAAUACCUAAAGCGAAAGCAGGCCACUGGGUAUUACUUGACACUGCUAGGACGAAAGCGUGGGGAGAGAAUGGGAUUAGAUACCCCAGUAUUCCACGCCCUAAACGAUGAGUGUUUACUUUUAGAGUCUGUCAAAUGACUUUGGAGGUAAAAGCUAACGCUAUAAACACUCCGCCUGUAGAGUACGGCCGCAAGGCUAAAACAUAAAGGAAUUGACGGGAACCCGCACAAGUAGUGGAUCAUGCGGCUUAAUUCGUAAGUAAGCGUGGAACCUCACCUAGGUUUGACAUGCUCUUGCAAGACUUUGGAAACUUAGUCCCUCUCUUCGGAGACUUUUGCACAGAUGAUGCACGGUCGUCGUCAGCUCGUGUCGUGAGAUGUUCGGUUAAGUCCGGUAACGAGCGCAACCCCAGUCCUUAGUUAUUUAAUGUCUAAGGAGACCGCCGAAGUUUAAUUCGGAGGAAGGAUGGGAUGACGUCAGAUCUGCGUGUCUCUUACAUCUAGGGCUGCACGCAUGAUACAAUGGGAAUGGUACAACGGGUUAUGCCAAAGAGCGAUCUGGAGCGAAUCCCCCAAAACCACCCUCAGUACGGAUUGGAGUCUGAAACUCGACUCCAUGAAGCUGGAAUUACUAGUAAUCGCUGAUCAGCCACGCAGCGGUGAAUACGUUCUCGGGUUUUGUACACACUGCCCGUCACGCCCUGGGAAUUGAAUGCGCCCCAAACCAUCAUGUACUUGGUGGAGAAGGUGAAGUCAUUGACUGGGUUGAAGUCGUAACAAGGUAACC